GACGAACGCUGGCGGCGUGCCUAAUACAUGCAAGUUGAGCGCUGAAGGUUGGUACUUGUACCAACUGGAUGAGCAGCGAACGGGUGAGUAACGCGUGGGGAAUCUGCCUUUGAGCGGGGGACAACAUUUGGAAACGAAUGCUAAUACCGCAUAAAAACUUUAAACACAAGUUUUAAGUUUGAAAGAUGCAAUUGCAUCACUCAAAGAUGAUCCCGCGUUGUAUUAGCUAGCUGGUGAGGUAAAGGCUCACCAAGGCGAUGAUACAUAGCCGACCUGAGAGGGUGAUCGGCCACAUUGGGACUGAGACACGGCCCAAACUCCUACGGGAGGCAGCAGUAGGGAAUCUUCGGCAAUGGACGAAAGUCUGACCGAGCAACGCCGCGUGAGUGAAGAAGGGUUUCGGAUCGUAAAACUCUGUUGGUAGAGAAGAACGUUGGUGAGAGUGGAAAGCUCAUCAAGUGACGGUAACUACCCAGAAAGGGACGGCUAACUACGUG
This 497-nucleotide ribosomal RNA is filed under the name uncultured bacterium. Its description in RNAcentral is "partial 16S ribosomal RNA". It matches the Rfam family "Bacterial small subunit ribosomal RNA", at positions 28 to 507 of the family's 1533-position model. The record is from RNAcentral.